UUAAAUUAAAGGGUUGUGGAAUAGCCAUAUUUGAGAGAUAAAUUAGUUAAGUAACAUUGAUUUUGAUAUAAUUCAAUGUCAUACAUUUAUUUGUAUCAUAUUUUAUCCGGUUAUGCCCCGUCGAUUAAAAGGUUUCCAGUUGCAAGUGAGAAAUUAGGUGACGUUUUUCUCUUGGUGAAGUCAUCCACGUAUACAUUUUUUAACCACAUACAUAUGCUCCGCGUAUUCUAUUCCAUAUCAUCGAAAUAAUAUAAGAUUAUAACCCCACCUACAACCUUUAAAUACUAAACAUAUUCCAACUAUAGUUAUCCAUAAUCCCCCAUAACCCCUGAAUAUUACACCCUAAGCUCAAAUAAGUAACCCUAAACCCAUGUCUAAACUCUAAACCCAAAUAUAAACCAUAAACCCAAACAGAAUGGAACAAAAUAAAUAACAUAGUACAUAAUGGUGAAAUUAUGAAAUCUAUGUGAUUGCAUGUAAGAAGUUAAUGAUGACCCCAAUCAUACCCCUUCAUCUUCUAAAUACUAAACCCUAAUCUCUA
This 541-nucleotide long non-coding RNA is filed under the name Brassica napus (rape). RNAcentral describes it as "long non-coding RNA (BNAP_LNC022880)". The record is from RNAcentral. Lineage: Eukaryota; Viridiplantae; Streptophyta; Magnoliopsida; Brassicales; Brassicaceae.